AACGCACAUUGCGCCCUUCGGUAUUCCGUUGGGCAUGCCUGUUCGAGCGUCAUUAGAAACUUCAAGCUCAGCUUGGUGUUGGGUGCUUGUCCCCGCCCGCGGCGGACUCACCUCAAAUGCAUUGGCGGCCGGUAUGUUGGCUACAGCGCAGUACAACGCGUCUGGCGUCUUGACAUACUGGUCCUCCAGAAGCCCUUCUUUGACUUGACCUCGGAUCAGGUAGGGAUACCCGCUGAACUUAA
Molecule: unclassified non-coding RNA, 242 nt
Filed under: uncultured fungus
Lineage: Eukaryota; Fungi
Description: sequence contains ITS2
Source: RNAcentral